Molecule: transfer RNA, 70 nt
Filed under: Temnopleurus reevesii
Lineage: Eukaryota; Metazoa; Echinodermata; Echinoidea; Temnopleuroida; Temnopleuridae
Description: tRNA-Val
Source: RNAcentral
CAAAACAUAGCUAGUUAGUAAGUUCCUCCUUUACACGGAGUAAACCCCCGUGCAAUUCGGGUUGUUUUGA